This 594-nucleotide long non-coding RNA is filed under the name Sparus aurata (gilthead seabream). RNAcentral's name for it is "lncRNA (ENSSAUG00010010273.1)". The record is from RNAcentral. Lineage: Eukaryota; Metazoa; Chordata; Actinopteri; Spariformes; Sparidae.
AUGGACAGAGGGAAGUGGGAGACGACGCUCACCUGUUUUCAGGCGUCUGCACGUGGAUACAUUGUGAGAAAGGAAGUCCGGCGUGCACGAGAAGACUUUGAAGACGUCGUGAGAGAGAUCGAUGGAGGCUUGACUCAUUUAGAGUGGAGGGAGACAGUCAUCCCCAUUCCCCACUUCACAGACACUAAUGGUCUGUUUCCACGACCCAGCAGCACUGCUGAAGGAGUAGAUAUCUGUGCCAGUCCCCAGAUCCCAUCAGCAACAGGAGUGUCAUCAGUGGAGAGGCGAGAUCAUCCUGCCCUCAAUGAUAAAGGGGACAGAGAGAAAGAAAGUACCAUGGUGUAUAAAGAUGGAGGGGUGAUGGAGAGCACAGGAGACUCCACCCCCGUCUGGAGCAGUUUGGAGCUGGAUAUGAACUAUGGUCACUCUAACAAAGGUUCCCGACAGUACUGCUUGGCCCAGGAGGUGCCCUGUACCCCAGAGGUGCUUCGUCUCCACAGAAACACCCUGACCAUGGAGCUGCUGUGGCUCCAACAGGCCAUUGACAGCAGGAAAAAGUACUUGUCACUGAAGGACAGACUGAGUGUUUCCUGA